GAUGAGUAGGGCGGGACACGUGGUAUCCUGUCUGAAUAUGGGGGGACCAUCCUCCAAGGCUAAAUACUCCUGACUGACCGAUAGUGAACCAGUACCGUGAGGGAAAGGCGAAAAGAACCCCGGCGAGGGGAGUGAAAAAGAACCUGAAACCGUGUACGUACAAGCAGUGGGAGCACGCUUAGGCGUGUGACUGCGUACCUUUUGUAUAAUGGGUCAGCGACUUAUAUUCUGUAGCAAGGUUAACCGAAUAGGGGAGCCGAAGGGAAACCGAGUCUUAACUGGGCGUUAAGUUGCAGGGUAUAGACCCGAAACCCGGUGAUCUAGCCAUGGGCAGGUUGAAGGUUGGGUAACACUAACUGGAGGACCGAACCGACUAAUGUUGAAAAAUUAGCGGAUGACUUGUGGCUGGGGGUGAAAGGCCAAUCAAACCGGGAGAUAGCUGGUUCUCCCCGAAAGCUAUUUAGGUAGCGCCUCGUGAAUUCAUCUCCGGGGGUAGAGCACUGUUUCGGCAAGGGGGUCAUCCCGACUUACCGACCCGAUGCAAACUGCGAAUACCGGAGAAUGUUAUCACGGGAGACACACGGCGGGUGCUAACGUCCGUCGUGAAGAGGGAAACAACCCAGACCGCCAGCUAAGGUCCCAAAGUCAUGGUUAAGUGGGAAACGAUGUGGGAAGGCCCAGACAGCCAGGAUGUUGGCUUAGAAGCAGCCAUCAUUUAAAGAAAGCGUAAUAGCUCACUGGUCGAGUCGGCCUGCGCGGAAGAUGUAACGGGGCUAAACCAUGCACCGAAGCUGCGGCAGCGACGCUUAUGCGUUGUUGGGUAG
This 824-nucleotide ribosomal RNA is filed under the name Shigella sonnei. Its description in RNAcentral is "bacterial LSU rRNA". It matches the Rfam family "Bacterial large subunit ribosomal RNA", at positions 407 to 1231 of the family's 2925-position model. The record is from RNAcentral. Lineage: Bacteria; Pseudomonadati; Pseudomonadota; Gammaproteobacteria; Enterobacterales; Enterobacteriaceae.